RNAcentral lists this ribosomal RNA (465 nucleotides) under uncultured bacterium. RNAcentral describes it as "partial 16S ribosomal RNA". It matches the Rfam family "Bacterial small subunit ribosomal RNA", at positions 28 to 507 of the family's 1533-position model. The record is from RNAcentral.
GACGAACGCUGGCGGCGUGCUUAACACAUGCAAGUCGUACGGUAAGGCCCUUUCGGGGGUACACGAGUGGCGAACGGGUGAGUAACACGUGAGUAACCUGCCCACAACUUUGGGAUAACGCUAGGAAACUGGUGCUAAUACUGGAUAUGUGCUCCUGCUGCAUGGUGGGGGUUGGAAAGCUCCGGCGGUUGUGGAUGGACUCGCGGCCUAUCAGCUUGUUGGUGGGGUAGUGGCCUACCAAGGCGGCGACGGGUAGCCGGCCUGAGAGGGUGACCGGCCACAUUGGGACUGAGAUACGGCCCAGACUCCUACGGGAGGCAGAAGUGGGGAAUAUUGCACAAUGGGCGCAAGCCUGAUGCAGCAACGCCGCGUGCGGGAUGACGGCCUUCGGGUUGGAAACCGCUUUCAGCAGGGACGAAGCUUUUUGUGACGGUACCUGCAGAAGAAGCACCGGCUAACUACGUG